UAAACUGCAAUGGUUCAGAAAGUAAAUUACUGGAUUGUAACUUCAAUAACGUUACAGUACAAUGUGAUCACUAUGAUGAUGUCGACCUCUAUUGUUUUCUUAACUGUUCAACAGAAGAUGAAGGUGGUUUGCGUAUAAUUCCGGGUUACGCUAAGCAUCAAGGACGACUGGAAAUUAAGUAUAGAGGUGAAUGGGGAACAGUUUGUGAUUAUUACUUUGGGUAUGUUGAUGCAGAAGUAGCAUGUAGACAGCUCGGAUAUUGUUCUGGAAUCAUGCAGCCUGCAAAUCGUAUACGUAGUGGUUAUGGUGCCGUUUGGUUAAAUGACGUAAAUUGCUCUGGUUCAGAAAGUAAAUUACUGGAUUGUAAAUU
Mytilus californianus (California mussel) is the source of this 370-nucleotide long non-coding RNA. RefSeq lists it as uncharacterized. The record is from RefSeq and is a predicted model, not a curated record. The transcript is spliced from 3 exons. NCBI's taxonomy places the organism in Eukaryota, Metazoa, Mollusca, Bivalvia, Mytilida, Mytilidae.